Zonotrichia albicollis (white-throated sparrow) is the source of this 542-nucleotide non-coding RNA. The record is from RefSeq and is a predicted model, not a curated record. Lineage: Eukaryota; Metazoa; Chordata; Aves; Passeriformes; Passerellidae.
AAUGCCUCUGGAAACUGGAGUCAGGUUUCCCAGCACCUUCACAGACAGGAGUGAGCUCAGUUGGGUAUUCUGAAUAAGGACCACCAAAUUCUCUGCCUUAGUGGCCCUCAUCUUCCCAAGGAAGAGCCACAAGGAGCCAGGAAUGAGGAUGUGCCCAGGUGACACUGAGUGGUUCUGCUUGAAAGGAAGGAACAAAGAACUGGAAUAAUCUGCCAGGCCAGGGAGUGAGCUGGGGUGGCCCUUGAGGUGUUGUGGGGUCCUCAGGAUGAGGUUCCCUGCAAAUUCCACAUGCAUUCCUCUCUCCAAGUGGUGCCUGCAGCACAAAUCCAGCAAAUCCAGGCUGCUGCUUCCAUCUGCUGCCCGUAGUGUUUAUUGCAAGCCUCUCUCUGUCUGGGAGGCAGCAGCAGCAGCUUGAAACAACCUUCAGAGAUGCUCUGCACAAAGGAGAACUUAAACAGAAGUUACUCUAUGGAUGCGAUGCCUCAGGUUUCAGCUUUUCUAUUUUUCAGGUUCUGUGAUGCCUUGAGAAUAGCAAACAGAAC